GACGAACGCUGGCGGCGUGCUUAACACAUGCAAGUCGAACGGAAAGGCCCUGCUUGCAGGGUACUCGAGUGGCGAACGGGUGAGUAACACGUGGGUGAUCUGCCCUGCACUUCGGGAUAAGCCUGGGAAACUGGGUCUAAUACCGGAUAGGAGCCAUUUUUAGUGUGAUGGUUGGAAAGUUUUUUCGGUGUAGGAUGAGCUCGCGGCCUAUCAGCUUGUUGGUGGGGUAAUGGCCUACCAAGGCGGCGACGGGUAGCCGGCCUGAGAGGGUGGACGGCCACAUUGGGACUGAGAUACGGCCCAGACUCCUACGGGAGGCAGCAGUGGGGAAUAUUGCACAAUGGGCGCAAGCCUGAUGCAGCGACGCCGCGUGGGGGAUGACGGCCUUCGGGUUGUAAACUCCUUUCGCUAGGGACGAAGCUUUUUGUGACGGUACCUAGAUAAGAAGCACCGGCUAACCACGUG
This 465-nucleotide ribosomal RNA is filed under the name uncultured bacterium. RNAcentral's name for it is "partial 16S ribosomal RNA". It matches the Rfam family "Bacterial small subunit ribosomal RNA", at positions 28 to 507 of the family's 1533-position model. The record is from RNAcentral.